This 441-nucleotide ribosomal RNA is filed under the name uncultured bacterium. RNAcentral's name for it is "bacterial SSU rRNA". It matches the Rfam family "Bacterial small subunit ribosomal RNA", at positions 339 to 796 of the family's 1533-position model. The record is from RNAcentral.
CUACGGUAUGCAGCAGUGAGGAAUAUUGCACAAUGGGCGAAAGCCUGAUGCAGCGACGCCGCGUGGGUGAAGAAGGUCUUCGGAUCGUAAAACCCUUUUCUGCGUGACGAGGAAGGACGGUAGCGCAGGAAUAAGUCUCGGCUAACUACGUGCCAGCAGCCGCGGUAAAACGUAGGAGACGAACGUUAUCCGGAGUUACUGGGCGUAAAGGGCGUGCAGGCGGUCUGAUAAGUUUGGCGUGAAAUCCUUCGGCUUAACCGGGGGGUGUCGUCAGAUACUGUGAGACUAGAGGGCGGUAGAGGCGUGUGGAAUUCCGGGUGUAGUGGUGAAAUGCGUAGAUAUCCGGAGGAACACCAGUGGCGAAGGCGACACGCUGGGCCGCACCUGACGCUAAGACGCGACAGCAUGGGGAGCGAACGGGAUUAGAUACCCUUGUAGUCC